RNAcentral lists this ribosomal RNA (235 nucleotides) under uncultured bacterium. RNAcentral describes it as "partial 16S ribosomal RNA". It matches the Rfam family "Bacterial small subunit ribosomal RNA", at positions 118 to 347 of the family's 1533-position model. The record is from RNAcentral.
UGAGCAAUCUGCCCUUCUCAUCGGAAUAAGCGUUGGAAACGACGUCUAAUGCCGAAUACGACCUCCUUUCGCAUGAUCGGAGGUGGAAAGCUCCGGCGGAGAAGGAUGAGCUCGCGGCCCAUCAGCUAGUUGGUGUGGGUAAUGGCCCACCAAGGCGACGACGGGUAGCCGGCCUGAGAGGGUGACCGGCCACACGUGGGACUGAGACACCGGCCCAGACCUCCGUACGGGAGCA